GACGAACCGUCCAAACGUUGUUCGGAAUCACUGGGCUUAAAGGGCGCGUAGGCGGGCUAUCAAGUCCGGGGUGAAAUCCUCCAGCUUAACUGGAGAACGGCCUCGGAUACUGAUGGUCUCGAGGAAGGUAGGGGCACGCGGAACUGUGGGUGGAGCGGUGAAAUGCGUUGAUAUCCAUAGGAACUCCGGUGGCGAAGGCGGUGUGCUGGACCUUUUCUGACGCUGAGGCGCGAAAGCCAGGGGAGCGAACGGG
RNAcentral lists this ribosomal RNA (253 nucleotides) under uncultured bacterium. Its description in RNAcentral is "partial 16S ribosomal RNA". It matches the Rfam family "Bacterial small subunit ribosomal RNA", at positions 524 to 776 of the family's 1533-position model. The record is from RNAcentral.